Molecule: ribosomal RNA, 540 nt
Filed under: Monosporozyma servazzii
Lineage: Eukaryota; Fungi; Ascomycota; Saccharomycetes; Saccharomycetales; Saccharomycetaceae
Description: Kazachstania servazzii partial large subunit ribosomal RNA
Rfam family: Eukaryotic large subunit ribosomal RNA
Source: RNAcentral
GGCAAAAGCUCAAAUUUGAAAUCUAGUACCUUCGGUGCUCGAGUUGUAAUUUGUAGAGGGAUACUUUGGGGCCGUUCCUUGUCUAUGUUCCUUGGAACAGGACGUCAUAGAGGGUGAGAAUCCCGUGUGGCGAGGAGUGCGGUUCUAUGUAAAGUGCCUUCGAAGAGUCGAGUUGUUUGGGAAUGCAGCUCUAAGUGGGUGGUAAAUUCCAUCUAAAGCUAAAUAUUGGCGAGAGACCGAUAGCGAACAAGUACAGUGAUGGAAAGAUGAAAAGAACUUUGAAAAGAGAGUGAAAAAGUACGUGAAAUUGUUGAAAGGGAAGGGCAUUUGAUCAGACAUGGUGUUUUGCGCCCUCUGCUCCUUGUGGGUGGGGGACUCUCGCAGCUCACUGGGCCAACAUCAGUUUUGGUGGUCGGACAAAUCCGUAGGAAUGUAGCUUACCUCGGUAAGUGUUAUAGCCUGCGGGAAUACGGCCAGCCGGGACUGAGGACUGCGACUUUUGUCAAGGAUGUUGGCAUAAUGGUUAUAUGCCGCCCGUCU